This 131-nucleotide ribosomal RNA is filed under the name uncultured bacterium. RNAcentral's name for it is "partial 16S ribosomal RNA". It matches the Rfam family "Bacterial small subunit ribosomal RNA", at positions 356 to 504 of the family's 1533-position model. The record is from RNAcentral.
GGGGAAUAUUGCACAAUGGGGGAAACCCUGAUGCAGCAACGCCGCGUGAGUGAAGAAGUAUUUCGGUAUGUAAAGCUCUAUCAGCAGGGAAGAUAAUGACGGUACCUGACUAAGAAGCUCCGGCUAAAUAC